RNAcentral lists this ribosomal RNA (543 nucleotides) under Fusarium sp. E-000535732. Its description in RNAcentral is "eukaryotic LSU rRNA". The stretch from base 175 to 328 matches the Rfam family "5.8S ribosomal RNA". The record is from RNAcentral. Lineage: Eukaryota; Fungi; Ascomycota; Sordariomycetes; Hypocreales; Nectriaceae.
AGGUGAACCUGCGGAGGGAUCAUUACCGAGUUUACAACUCCCAAACCCCUGUGAACAUACCUAUACGUUGCCUCGGCGGAUCAGCCCGCGCCCCGYAWWWAGGGACGGCCCGCCCGAGGACCCCUAAACUCUGUUUUUAGUGGAACUUCUGAGUAAAACAAACAAAUAAAUCAAAACUUUCAACAACGGAUCUCUUGGUUCUGGCAUCGAUGAAGAACGCAGCAAAAUGCGAUAAGUAAUGUGAAUUGCAGAAUUCAGUGAAUCAUCGAAUCUUUGAACGCACAUUGCGCCCGCCAGUAUUCUGGCGGGCAUGCCUGUUCGAGCGUCAUUUCAACCCUCAAGCUCAGCUUGGUGUUGGGACUCGCGGUAACCCGCGUUCCCCAAAUCGAUUGGCGGUCACGUCGAGCUUCCAUAGCGUAGUAAUCAUACACCUCGUUAMWGGUAAUCGUCGCGGCCACGCCGUAAAACCCCAACUUCUGAAUGUUGACCUCGGAUCAGGUAGGAAUACCCGCUGAACUUAAGCAUAUCAAUAAGCGGAGGAAU